This 38-nucleotide ribosomal RNA is filed under the name uncultured Cenococcum. RNAcentral describes it as "partial 18S ribosomal RNA". Lineage: Eukaryota; Fungi; Ascomycota; Dothideomycetes; Gloniales; Gloniaceae. The record is from RNAcentral.
GGACUUCUGGCUUCGUAGGUGACCUGCGGAGGUCAUUA